CAUGAAGACUGCAAAUAUGCGUGGUCUUCGACAUUUCUAAUCUAUCAAGCAUAUUGCUUACUGGAGAGACAGAUGGCACUUACCGCUGAGAAGAAGGCUGAGAUCGUUACCGAAUUCGGCCGUGGCGAG
This is a regulatory RNA element of Cobetia sp., 129 nucleotides long. It matches the Rfam family "Ribosomal S15 leader". From Rfam's summary of the family: The E. coli Ribosomal S15 gene 5' UTR can form two alternative structures. One that is a series of three hairpins, The other includes a pseudoknot. Lineage: Bacteria; Pseudomonadati; Pseudomonadota; Gammaproteobacteria; Oceanospirillales; Halomonadaceae. The record is from Rfam.